Non-coding RNA from Pelobates cultripes (western spadefoot toad), 333 nucleotides. NCBI's taxonomy places the organism in Eukaryota, Metazoa, Chordata, Amphibia, Anura, Pelobatidae. The record is from the annotation of a GenBank genome assembly.
GUGAAAUCAAAGACUUUGUCAACAAUUGUCCCACUUGCAAUGAAUAUGCACACUCGCAACAAAAAUAAACCAUGAUGUCACAUAAGAUACCUACACGUCCUUGGCAGAUUGUCAGCAUGGACUUAUUUAAAUAUGCUGGAAAAGAGUACCUGCUCUUAGUCGAUCAUUACUCAGACUUCUGGGAAAUUGAACUGCUUCCUGACUUGUCCACUGAAACUACAAUUCAGCGAUGCAAGGCGCAAUUUGCACGUCAUGGCCAACCAACUAAAGUGAUUUCUGAUAAUGGUCCUCAGUUUGCAAGCUUACAGUUCAGGAAAUUUGCCACAGAAUGGG